Molecule: ribosomal RNA, 233 nt
Filed under: uncultured bacterium
Lineage: Bacteria
Description: partial 16S ribosomal RNA
Rfam family: Bacterial small subunit ribosomal RNA
Source: RNAcentral
CGGGGUGGAGUAAUAUGUAGGAAUCUACCUAGAGGUGAGGGAUAACUUAGGGAAACUUAAGCUAAUACCACAUAAGCCCCACCGGGGGAAAGGCAGGGGCUCUUCGGACCUUGCGCCUUAUGAUGAGCCUACAUCGGAUUAGCUUGUUGGUGGGGUAAAGGGCCUACCAAGGCGACGAUCCGUAGCUGGUCUGAGAGGAUGAUCAGCCACACUGGGACUGAGACACGGCCCAG